UCUUGUGCCUAAUCAAUCUACUGUGUCUCCUAAGGAAGAUGCAGACAUAACUGGUGGGUAUGUUCCAGUUUAGAUAGUGACUUGCCACUUGACAUAUUCUGGAAGCUUUAUAUUACUUAAGUAAUUAAUCUAAAGAAAAUCACCUCUAAUGAUUUUAUACUGACAUUGCUAUGCUUAAUAAGGUAUAUCUUGACAAUUAAAUUUUUUGUAUGUGAUGUAUCUUCAUUUGUGCUUGAAUUUUAGGUAAGAGAACUAUCUCUUAAAACUUUGUAUAAUUAAAUCUCAUGUUGUUGGAAUAAUUCAAUUAUAUAAAAGUACUCUCAAGCCAUGUGACCAGAAGCACUGAUUGUAUUUACUCAAUGUGCCUCUUCUGGUAGAUAAGAUCUGUGAAGUUUUAUCAAAUUAUUUUGUAGCUACUCAUUUCCAAAGAACUCCUAAGAAGACCAACAGUAGACAUAAGCACUUAAUUAUUAAGAAGUUCAAAAAAAAAAUAAAGACAGAAUAUUAAAAGCAAAAAAAAAAAAGAAGUUCAUAUAAUAGUGGAAAUUACUUUUAAAAGUAUUUGACAAGCAUUUCAGUUUUUCAUCAAGUAUAAAUAAGUGUGUAUUCAUAGUUUCAGUUCUUUAGGAUAUUUUUUAAAUUUUAAACUUUUUAUUGAUUCUCUGUUUCACAUCAUGCUCCCCAGUCUUGUUCAUCUCUCCAUACCCUCAUACUCACCCUUUGUCCUUGAACUACCCCCCCCC
RNAcentral lists this long non-coding RNA (743 nucleotides) under Mus musculus (house mouse). Its description in RNAcentral is "long non-coding RNA chr16:42038127-42038870". Lineage: Eukaryota; Metazoa; Chordata; Mammalia; Rodentia; Muridae. The record is from RNAcentral.